RNAcentral lists this signal recognition particle RNA (265 nucleotides) under Bacillus salinus. RNAcentral's name for it is "Bacillus sp. HMF5848 Bacterial large signal recognition particle RNA". It matches the Rfam family "Bacterial large signal recognition particle RNA". From Rfam's summary of the family: The signal recognition particle (SRP) is a universally conserved ribonucleoprotein involved in the co-translational targeting of proteins to membranes. Archaeal SRP consists of a 7S RNA and homologues of the eukaryotic SRP19 and SRP54 proteins. In most bacteria, the SRP consists of a 4.5S RNA and the Ffh protein (a homologue of the eukaryotic SRP54 protein). Lineage: Bacteria; Bacillati; Bacillota; Bacilli; Caryophanales; Bacillaceae. The record is from Rfam by way of RNAcentral.
CCGUGCUAAGCGGGGAGGUAGCGGUGCCCUGUACUCGCAAUCCGCUCUAGCGAGGCCGAAUCCCUUUCCGAGGUUACUCUUGGUGAGGUCUGCCGUAAGUAAAUAGUGUUGACGUUCGGGUCCCGCGCAAUGGGAAUCCGUGAACCCUGUCAGGUCCGGAAGGAAGCAGCAGUAAGCGGACACUCCCAUGUGCCGCGGGGUUGCCUGAACUGAGCUAGAUACUUACGUAACGCUCAUUGAAGGUAUAUCGACGAAAGGUGCACGG